GUCUAUGGCCAUGCCACCCUGAACAAGCUGGACCUUGUCUGAUCUCAGAAGCUAAGCAGGGUUGGGCCUGGUUAGUACUUGGAUGGGAGACCAUCUAAGGAGACCAGGUGCUGUAGGUG
Molecule: ribosomal RNA, 119 nt
Filed under: Pteropus alecto (black flying fox)
Lineage: Eukaryota; Metazoa; Chordata; Mammalia; Chiroptera; Pteropodidae
Source: RNAcentral